GGCGAUCAGAUACCGCCCUAGUUCUAACCGUAAACGAUGACAACCAGCGAUUAAUCGGCGUUAAUUUAUGACCCGAUUAGCAGCUUCCGGGAAACCAAAGUUUUUCGUUUCCGGGGGAAGUAUGGUUGCAAAGCUGAAACUUAAAGGAAUUGACGGAAGGGCACCACCAGGAGUGGAGCCUGCGGCUUAAUUUGACUCAACACGGGAAAACUCACCCGGCCCGGACACCGUAAGGAUUGACAGACUGAGAGCUCUUUCUUAAUUCGGUGGGUGGUGGUGCAUGGCCGUUCUUAGUUGGUGGAGCGAUUUGUCUGGUUAAUUCCGAUAACGAACGAGACUCUGGCCUAUUAAAUAGACGGUGUAUUUAAAAGUACGUCGCGCUUCUUAGAGGGACAAGCGGCGUCUAGCCGCAUGAAAUAGAGCAAUAACAGGUCUGUGAUGCCCUUAGAUGUCCGGGGCUGCACGCGCGCUACACUGAAAGAAUCAGUGGGCGUUAUACCUAGUCCGGAAGGACCGGGUAACCCAAGUAAAUUCUUUCGUGCUUGGGAUAGGGAAUUGCAAUUAUUUCCCUUGAACGAGGAAUUCCCAGUAAAUGCGGGUCAUAAGCUCGCGUUGAUUACGUCCCUGCCCUUUGUA
RNAcentral lists this ribosomal RNA (636 nucleotides) under Paraxonchium magnidens. Its description in RNAcentral is "SSU rRNA". It matches the Rfam family "Eukaryotic small subunit ribosomal RNA", at positions 1003 to 1664 of the family's 1831-position model. Lineage: Eukaryota; Metazoa; Nematoda; Enoplea; Dorylaimida; Aporcelaimidae. The record is from RNAcentral.